AGUGAACGCUGGCGGUAGGCCUAACACAUGCAAGUCGAACGGCAGCACAGUAAGAGCUUGCUCUUACGGGUGGCGAGUGGCGGACGGGUGAGGAAUACAUCGGAAUCUACUUUUUCGUGGGGGAUAACGUAGGGAAACUUACGCUAAUACCGCAUACGACCUACGGGUGAAAGCAGGGGAUCUUCGUACCUUGCGCGAUUGAAUGAGCCGAUGUCGGAUUAGCUAGUUGGCGGGGUAAAGGCCCACCAAGGCGACGAUCCGUAGCUGGUCUGAGAGGAUGAUCAGCCACACUGGAACUGAGACACGGUCCAGACUCCUACGGGAGGCAGCAGUGGGGAAUAUUGGACAGUGGGCGCAAGCCUGAUCCAGCCAUACCGCGUGGGUGAAGAAGGCCUUCGGGUUGUAAAGCCCUUUUGUUGGGAAAGAAAAGCAGCAGGUUAAGACCCCGCUGUUCUGACGGUACCCAAAGAAUAAGCACCGGCUAACUUCGU
RNAcentral lists this ribosomal RNA (491 nucleotides) under uncultured bacterium. RNAcentral describes it as "partial 16S ribosomal RNA". It matches the Rfam family "Bacterial small subunit ribosomal RNA", at positions 29 to 506 of the family's 1533-position model. The record is from RNAcentral.